RNAcentral lists this non-coding RNA (24 nucleotides) under Arabidopsis thaliana (thale cress). Lineage: Eukaryota; Viridiplantae; Streptophyta; Magnoliopsida; Brassicales; Brassicaceae. The record is from RNAcentral.
AUCGCAAAUCUCUCGCAACAGUUG